Molecule: long non-coding RNA, 294 nt
Filed under: Homo sapiens (human)
Lineage: Eukaryota; Metazoa; Chordata; Mammalia; Primates; Hominidae
Description: HSALNT0184895
Source: RNAcentral
GGCCGAGUAACAGACCCAGAAGGGGCAGCCUGAAAGCAAUGGGGUCUCAAAACAAUAGAGAACGUGGGCAGGUUGGGCUGGGGUGUGGGCAGAAUAGACGCCAGCUCAUCCGAACUGGCCUAGAGUCAAGGUGCUGAACUCCUGGCUCCAUCGAAGCACAACGUCCUCACUUUUGCCAGGGCUCAGCGCACUGUAAGUCUCAUUCUGCAGACAUCUCAUGCGGGACACCUACACAGAGAUUCAGUGCAGACGGUCUGUAUCACAGAGCCAGGUGCCAGGAGUGGGGAGGAGGGG